UGGGGAAUAUUGCACAAUGGGCGCAAGCCUGAUGCAGCCAUGCCGCGUGUGUGAAGAAGGCCUUCGGGUUGUAAAGCACUUUCAGCGAGGAGGAAGGUGGUGAGCUUAAUACGCUCAUCAAUUGACGUUACUCGCAGAAGAAGCACCGGCUAACUCCGUGCCAGCAGCCGCGGUAAUACGGAGGGUGCAAGCGUUAAUCGGAAUUACUGGGCGUAAAGCGCACGCAGGCGGUUUGUUAAGUCAGAUGUGAAAUCCCCGGGCUCAACCUGGGAACUGCAUUUGAAACUGGCAAGCUAGAGUCUCGUAGAGGGGGUAGAAUUCCAGGUGUAGCGGUGAAAUGCGUAGAGAUCUGGAGGAAUACCGGUGGCGAAGGCGGCCCCCUGGACGAAGACUGACGCUCAGGUGCGAAAAGCGUGGGGAGCAAAACAGGAUUAGAUACCCUGGUAGUCCACGCUGUAAAACGAUGUCGAUUUUGGAGGUUGUGCCCUUGAGGCGUGGCUUCCGGAGCUAACGCGUUAAAUCGACCGCCUGGGGAGUACGGCCGCAAGGUUAAAAACUUAAAGGAAUUGACGGGGUCAUAGCUG
Molecule: ribosomal RNA, 584 nt
Filed under: uncultured bacterium
Lineage: Bacteria
Description: partial 16S ribosomal RNA
Rfam family: Bacterial small subunit ribosomal RNA
Source: RNAcentral